RNAcentral lists this long non-coding RNA (868 nucleotides) under Oncorhynchus kisutch (coho salmon). RNAcentral's name for it is "lncRNA (ENSOKIG00005010200.1)". Lineage: Eukaryota; Metazoa; Chordata; Actinopteri; Salmoniformes; Salmonidae. The record is from RNAcentral.
UGUAAUGUGUUAUAGUAGGUGCCGGCAGCUUAAGUCAUACAACAAGGAUCAAAGUUGAUUCUAGGAAUCUCCCUGUUCAGGAAGGGAGGGGAUGUAUCCAGGUGAUUCCAUGUCGUGGAGGGGAUGUAUCCAGGUGAUUCCAUGUCGUGGAGGGGAUGUAUCCAGAUUGAAAGCCAACAAACUGCUGGAGAAAGGGAAACCUGUUGUAGUUGACCUUCUUCCAAAGUUGUGAGACUGUGAUCACUUUUUCCGUAGCAGAGAGGGGACUUUGUGAAAGAUGCGUUAUGUGUAUUUUUUCAUGGCUAAAUAAUCAAACAUUUAAGAGAAUCGAUUUUUCAGAAGCGUCACGUUCCAGAUUGUUGCUACUUAGGCUGCCCAAUUCUAAUCUUUUUUUCCACUAAUUGGUAUUUUGACCAAUCACAUUAGAUCUUUUCACAUCAGAUCUUUUUCAGAGCGGAUUUGAUUGGUCAAUCAACCAAAGAGUGAAAACAAGAUCAGAAUUGGACUGUCUGUGUAAACGCAGCCUUAGGCUCUUGGUUAAUGAAUCAGGUCCCUGUAUAUACGUUCCAUCUGAGUCUAAUACAGUAUAUUUUACACACCCUGCUGAGUUGUCUUUACCUAAUGCAAUUUAAACUAACAAGCAGCUAAAUUAUCCACUUGAUUAAUACCCUAUUAUACCUGAAUGUAGAGAUUGCCUUUUGAAUGAUUUAAUUGUUUGGUUUGAUCAGUGGGACCUUGAAGGCAUUUGUUAUUGUGAGAAAAGCUCUCUUCAAUGGCAAAAUAAAAGACAUUUGAUUGUGAAUGUUUUAUAUUUGUAAUAUUGGACAAAAACAAAUAGUUUAGCUUGAUUUGCAUAAUAAUGACAUCA